Molecule: ribosomal RNA, 377 nt
Filed under: uncultured bacterium
Lineage: Bacteria
Description: bacterial SSU rRNA
Rfam family: Bacterial small subunit ribosomal RNA
Source: RNAcentral
UAAGACGUAGGAGGCGAGCGUUGUCCGGAUUCAUUGGGCGUAAAGAGCACGCAGGCGGUUUGGCAAGUCGGAUGUGAAAACCCGGAGCUCAACUCCGGACCUGCAUCCGAAACUGCCCGACUAGAGGUAGGUAGGGGAGAUCGGAAUUCCUGGUGUAGCGGUGAAAUGCGCAGAUAUCAGGAGGAACACCGGUGGCGAAGGCGGAUCUCUGGGCCUUACCUGACGCUCAGGUGCGAAAGCUAGGGGAGCGAACAGGAUUAGAUACCCUGGUAGUCCUAGCCGUAAACGUUGGGUGCUAGGUGUGGGCGGAUAUCAACCCCGUCCGUGCCGAAGCUAACGCAUUAAGCACCCCGCCUGGGGAGUACGGCCGCAAGGCU